UACGUAGGGUGCAAGCGUUAUCCGGAAUCACUGGGCGUAAAGCGUGCGUAGGUGGGAAUUUAAGUGUGAUGUUAAAUCGUGUGGCUCAACCAUAUCGAUGCAUCGCAUACUGGGUUCCUAGAGGACGGCAGAGGCAAGUGGAAUUAGCAGUGUAGCAGUGAAAUGCGUAGAUAUGCGGAGGAACACCGAUGGCGAAGGCAAUCCCCUGGGCCUGCACUGACGCUCAUGCACGAAAGCGUGGGGAGCAAACAGG
Molecule: ribosomal RNA, 253 nt
Filed under: uncultured bacterium
Lineage: Bacteria
Description: partial 16S ribosomal RNA
Rfam family: Bacterial small subunit ribosomal RNA
Source: RNAcentral